RNAcentral lists this ribosomal RNA (468 nucleotides) under uncultured bacterium. RNAcentral describes it as "partial 16S ribosomal RNA". It matches the Rfam family "Bacterial small subunit ribosomal RNA", at positions 28 to 507 of the family's 1533-position model. The record is from RNAcentral.
GACGAACGCUGGCGGCGUGCUUAACACAUGCAAGUCGAACGGAAAGGCCCUGCUUUUGUGGGGUGCUCGAGUGGCGAACGGGUGAGUAACACGUGAGUAACCUGCCCUUGACUUUGGGAUAACUUCAGGAAACUGGGGCUAAUACCGGAUAGGAGCUCCUGCUGCAUGGUGGGGGUUGGAAAGUUUCGGCGGUUGGGGAUGGACUCGCGGCUUAUCAACUUGUUGGUGGGGUAGUGGCUUACCAAGGCUUUGACGGGUAGCCGGCCUGAGAGGGUGACCGGCCACAUUGGGACUGAGAUACGGCCCAGACUCCUACGGGAGGCAGCAGUGGGGAAUAUUGCACAAUGGGCGGAAGCCUGAUGCAGCAACGCCGCGUGCGGGAUGACGGCCUUCGGGUUGUAAACCGCUUUCGCCUGUGACGAAGCGUGAGUGACGGUAAUGGGUAAAGAAGCACCGGCUAACUACGUG